RNAcentral lists this ribosomal RNA (253 nucleotides) under uncultured bacterium. RNAcentral's name for it is "partial 16S ribosomal RNA". It matches the Rfam family "Bacterial small subunit ribosomal RNA", at positions 524 to 776 of the family's 1533-position model. The record is from RNAcentral.
UACGGAGGGUGCGAGCGUUGUCCGGAAUCAUUGGGCGUAAAGGGCGCGUAGGUGGCUUCUUAAGCGUGCGGUGAAAGCCUGGGGCUCAACCCCGGGUCGGCCGUGCGAACUGGGGGGCUGGAGCACUGUAGAGGCAGGCGGAAUUCCGGGUGUAGCGGUGGAAUGCGUAGAGAUCCGGAAGAACACCGGUGGCGAAGGCGGCCUGCUGGGCUAUGGCUGACACUGAGGCGCGACAGCGUGGGGAGCAAACAGG